RNAcentral lists this long non-coding RNA (7590 nucleotides) under Gossypium barbadense (sea-island cotton). Its description in RNAcentral is "long non-coding RNA (GBAR_LNC015626)". Lineage: Eukaryota; Viridiplantae; Streptophyta; Magnoliopsida; Malvales; Malvaceae. The record is from RNAcentral.
GUUACUUUCUCGAAAUGAAAAUUUACGCAUAAAAUAAAAGUGAUAUUCAAAGUUUGGAGAUUAUGAGGAAUCGUACCCUAACGUAUUGGGACUCGAUUUCUUUACAUGACUCGAACAAUCGGUUGUCCUUUUGCAAAUUUCAUCAUUCAAGUUUAUUUUAAAAUCUUUUUAAACCUUCGACACUAAGACAUCAAAUAGUCAAUUUGGUACCGAUUUUUGGGCGUUGCGAGGGUGCUAACCUUUCCUCAUGCGUAACUGACUCCCGAACCUGCUUUCUCAAAAUUCGCAGACCAAAAUAAUUUUUAUGGUGAGCCGAUCACACCUUAAUAAAGGAUCGGUGGCGACUCUAAUUUUUUUUAAAGUCGAUAAUGAAAUUUUUGUUUUUCAAAGAACGAAUUCGACAGCUUGGAGACUCCACUAGGGAAACUUGAGAGUCGAGCCAUAAACUGAUUAUAUUUGUCUUUGAGUCGAAAAUCAAAAGUUUUAAAAAAUUCAUGAGUUCCCUUCGCAUUCAUCAUUUUUUUCAUCUUGGUAUGUUGGCAACUUUGCAUUUGCAUUUUGCAUUUUACCCUUUAAGUGGGAGCGAGAAACUAGUCCUUCGUGAGGUUUUCACCUUCGUGCAGGGUAGUAGACCGCUUCCGGGAUACAUCCGUACCUAUGUCUUCGUGUGAUUUUCAUCUCCGUGCAGCCAUAGGGAAAUGUAUCCCCCUGAACUGAACUCGAUCUAUAUGAGCCUAUAAUGGGUGAGGAUCGAGGAAUCUGCUGGUUCGGGUACCCUUACUCUAGAAACUAAGCCUCAUAUAGUGAGCUUUAGGAACUUGACCUAGGUAGAACUAUCCCAAAACCCUAGUGGGUUCCUGAUUAAGUGUUUCUUGCUAUUUCAUGUUUGUAUUUGAUUAUAUCUCUAUAUGUGAUACUGACUUGGGUUUUUUUUGUUUUGAUUCCAUGACAUCAUGAUUGCAUAGCAUUUCAUCCUAAAAGGGCGUUAAUUAAUAUUUGGUUGCUAGAUAGAAAGCUUAUCAUGAAAAAUGGGUUUCUUGAUAAGGUGGAAGAUAAUGCGGCUGUCCAAACUUGGUCUGAGACAACACAGCAGGAGAAAGGUGAUAGUUUGGCUGAAGGAUGUGUCAGAGUUGUGGGACUUCACUCGUGUUAGCGUGACUCAGAAUAGCCUACAGGAACUAAAGGAAAUUUGGGACCGGUGGAAUGAUGAGAUUAAGCAGCUCUUCUACUCUAGCUAUGAAGACCUACCUUACUUGCUCGACUUAAAGGUGGAUAAGCACUUAUUUCGUGCCUUAGCCCAAUUUUGGAAUCCUGCUUAUAGUUGCUUUACUUUUGGAAAAGUUGACUUAGUGCUUACGGUGGAGGAAUACACGGCAUUGCUUCGUUGUUCAAAAAUUCAAGUGGACAAAGCCUAUUCAAGAUGCUAAUGUUCCAACCUUUUUGAAGAAAUUGAUGAAUAUUACGGGGAUGAGUGAGCAAUGGGUCACAGCACGAAUCAAACAAAAGGGAGAUAGUAAGUGCAUUCUUUGGAGGAACCUGAAAGAUUUAAUUCUAGCGCACCGGAUACGAGGAAGAGGGUUGAUGUCUUUGCCUUGGGUAUUUACGGUUUGGUUGUCUUUCCUAAAGCUUUGGGACAUAUUGAUGAAGCAGUCACUGACCUUUUUGACCAUCUUGACAAGGGGGUUACACGGUUCCAGCAAUUCUGGCAGAAACUUUCAGAUCUCUGAAUGAAUGUCGAAGAGUAGGUGAGGGUAGAUUCAUUGGAUGCACGCAGCUCCUUUUAGCAUGGUUUCACAGUCACUUUUGGAAGGUGGAUAAGGUUUCCUAUCGGGUUUUUUCUGAAAAUUAUUCGCCCUUGAAGGAAAUAGUGGCAUUACCCAGGCAGGAUGGUAUCUCAGAGGAAAAAUGGAUGGCAACACUUUAGAAUCUUCAAGAGGGGGAUAUUGAAUGGAGAGCUCCUUGGAUGCUGUCAGAUGAGAUCUUAUAUAGGUGUGGAGAUUUUGACUGGGUCCCUUUACUUGGGAUUUGGGGGGCUAUUGGCUAUGCACCGUUAUUGGUACUGAGACAGUAUAGGUCAAGACAGUUCGUACCAACAACCCAUGGAUUAGCUCAGUGUGAAUUCUCGUAUAAGUGUGAUGGUUACAAGAAGAAGAUACGAUAAAUGACUAAUGCUUGGAGGUAGACUCGCCGAUUGAAAAGGUUGGCAGUAGGUCCAUCAACGACGCCUAAAUAUAUCGAGUGGCUUAAUAGAAGGAUCAAUGAUAAUAUACCUGUACCAGGUCAAUGAGACAGUCAAUUUGUGGAAAAGCAUGUACAUAUGGUCCCUUCUAAGCUAGAAAUUAUAAAACAGGAUUUUGAAAGAAGAAAUUCUGAGCUUGAGAAGAAGAUAGAUCAAAUGGAAGAGGAGAAGAUGAAUUUAAGGCUGGACAUAGAUGUUUAGAAAUUGGUCCACCAUGGAAGGGGAUUGCAUCAAUUACUCCAAAAAGUGCCAUAAAUGUCAAAUCUAUGGUGAUAAAAUGCAUGCACCUCCCUCACCUCUUCAUGUCAUGACUUCUCCAUGGCCUUUCUCCAUGUGGGGUAUGGAUGUCAUCGAGCCAAUAUCGCCGAAGGCUUCAAAUAGGUAUCGUUUCAUAUUUGUGGUUAUUGAUUACUUCACCAAAUGGGUAGAAGCUGCUUCGUAUGCUACCGUUACAAAGUCAUCAGUCAGCAAGUUCUUGAAGAAAGAGAUCAUAUGUCGGUAUGGAAUGCCUGAAAGAAUCAUAUCCGACAAUGCGUUGAAUUUGAACAACAGUUCAAUAGCAGAAGUCUGCAGUCAAUUCAAGAUCAGACAUCACAAUUUGUCGCCGUAUCGCUCAAAAAUGAAUGGUGCAGUGGAAGCGGCCAAUAAAAAUAUAAAGAAGAUUGUGGGGAAGAUGGCUAAGACUUACAGGGACUAGCACGAAAAAUUAUCGUUCGCCCUUAUUGCUUAUUGAACGUCAAUCAGGACUUUCACCGGGGCAACGUCUUUCUCCUUAGUUUAUGGCAUGGAGGCAGUCUUGCCCAUCGAAGUUGAAAUCCCUUCUCUCCGGGUUUUGACUGAGCUACAAUUAGAUGAAGCAGAGUGGGUUCAAUCACGAUACGAUCAAUUGAACUUGAUAGAGGGAAAAAGGCUAAAGGCUAUUCAACAUGGUUAGAUGUACUAGAAAAGAAUGAUGCGAGCCUACAACAAAAAGGUCUGACCCAGAGAGUUUCACGAGGGGGACCUAGUGUUGAGAAAAAUUCUUUCUCUACAAAAAGACUUUAGGGGGAAAUGGAUGCCGAAUUGGGAAGGUUCUUAUGUUGUAAAAAAGGCCUUUUCUGGAGGAGCCCUGAUCUUGGCUGAAAUGGAUGGAAGAAACUUGCCUAAUCCAGUAAAUUCAGACUCGGUCAAGAGAUACUUUAGUUGAAGAGGGGAAGGAACCAUGGCGAAAACCUGCAAACGACGCUUUGAUUCCAAAAAAAAAAGGAGAGGCUAAGGUGAAAACCUGCAAAGGGCACCUUAAGACCAAAGGGGAUUUGAGUUGAAAACCUGAAAAGGGCGGCUCAAAUUUUGAUUGUCACGUGGUAGUCUUGUUGUACCUAAAUCUGUAGAAAGGAGUAGAUGACGUCUUGGGGCAUCAACAAAAUACUGUGAAUUUCCUAAACACGUGUUGAAUUUAGAAGGGUUUUCGAAAAGCUGUAUAGAGAAAUUAAAGCAGAGAUAUCUGGGGCACUUGAUCAUAGUAUUUGUAUUGAGUUCGUUGUUUUAGAACAUUUCAUUCUUUUUCAAUAUAAAUGUCCCCAGGCAAUUCCUCUAUCAUUGAUAAACCAUCGCGAGCUAUGCUCCCAAACUAAUUUUUUUUAUUCAUCGUUAUGAUCUUUUCGCAAGCAUGUUGCAUUAGAAUGACGAUUAAUGGACUAAUAAAACUUUCACAAGGGAAGUUCUUCAUAUUACUCUAGAAAUUUCUAAAUAAUACAGGAGCCUGAAGUAGGACUAUUGUUUAGACUUCACCAGGUUAAAAGGUCGGAGAUCUCUAGGAGUUAAGAGUCAAGAUUAAAAUUUUCAAGUUUUGACGAAGCGUUGUUGUCACAAAGGAAGCCUUAAUGAGCAAUAAUGACUUUAAACAUUCAAUAUUCAUUUUUCAUGACAUGACAAUUCAAAUGUCAUUCAUACACGCCUAGUUAGGAGCAUUUGAUUUAUUUUAUCAUGACAUCCUAAUCAUUAGGCAUAAUUAGGUUCAUAAAGUGAAUUAUACAGGUCAUGUUCCCUAGAGAGCAGAUCGGCGAAAUCAUAAAGCCUUAUCUCCCUGAGCAACAGUGGAGCAGGUUGAAAAGAUAGCAGGUUCUGUCUUCCUAUAUCAGUAGCGAAGUGGACCGAAUAUACAGAUCUUAUCUUUCCAUACUGGUGGUGAAGUAGAUCGGAAAAAGUAGAUCUUGUCUUCAUGUACUGGCGUGAAGUAGAUCAAGGAUGACAGAUCUUGCCUUUCCAUACUGGUGGCGAAGCAGAUCGAAGAAAACAGAUAUUGUCUUCAUGUACUGGCGUGAAGUAGAUCAAAGAUACCAGAUCUUGUCUUUCCAUACUGGCGGCGAAGCGGAUCGAAGAAAACAGAUCUUGUCUUUCCAUACUGGUGGCGAAACGGAUCGAAGAAAACAGAUCUUGUCUUCAUGUAUUGGCGUGAAGCAGAUCAAAGAUAGUGGAUCUUGUCUUCCCAUACUGGUGGCGAAAUAGAUUGAAGAAAACAGAUCUUGUCUUCAUGUACUGGCGUGAAGUAGAUCAAAAAAACAUAUUUUGUCUCCCCAUACUGGUGGUGGAGUAGAUCGAAAAAAAUAAAUCUUAUCUUCAUGUACUGGCGUGAAGUAGAUCAAAGAUAGCAGGUCCUGUCUUCCUAUAUCGGUAGCGAAGUGGAUCGAAUAUACAGAUCUUAUCUUCCCAUACUGGUGGUGAAGUAGAUCGAAAAAAGUAAAUCUUGUCUUCAUGUGCUGGCGUGAAGUAGAUCAAGGAUGACAGAUUUUGCCUCCCCAUACUGGUGGUGGAGUAGAUUGAAGAAAAACAAAUCUUGUCUUCAUGUACUGGCGUGAAGUAGAUCAAAUGUAACAUAUAUUGUCUCCUCAUACUGGUGGCAAAGCAGAUCGAAGGAAACAGAUCUUGUCUUCAUGUACUGGCGUGAAGUAGAUCAAAGGUAACAGAUCUUGCCUCCCCAUAUUGGUGGUGGAGCAGAUUGAAGAAAAGCAAAUCUUGUCUUCAUGUAUCGGCGUGAAGUAGAUCAAAUACAACAAAUAUUGUCUCCCCAUACUGGUGGUGGAAUAGAUUGAAGAUUACAGAUCUUAUCUCCCUAAGCAGUAGUGGAGUAGAUCAAAGAUGGUGGAUUUUACCUCCCUGAGGUUACAGUGGAGUACAUUAAAGCCAGUUAUUCCAAUCUCAUUGAAGUUGCAAUGGAGUGGAUUAAAGUACCAGUUCUUAUACCUCUGAAGAUGCAGUAGGAAGGAACAUGGCUACUUAAAGAAGAGAAGCAUUAAAGAAGUUGAGGCUCAGUAAGACUGGGCACAAUUGGGCCUUUUAGUCUUUGCUCUGUUCCCGUUACACGACAACGAGCAAAGAGGGGCAGCUGUAAUAAGGCCCAAUCGGCCCAAAAUACUUCUUAGCCCGACACUACAAAAUUAAACAGAAAAAUCCUAAGCAAUAAGGAGUGCCACAUCUGCCUCAGCGCCGCAACAGCACCCAUGCCACGCCUAAUGCCCGAUCGCCGCACGUUUUGGCCUCCAUGCGCGCCGUAGUCUCCACGAACACUUACAAAACAGACUCAAAGAGUCCAAAUAAUGUAAAACAACAAGAAACAAGGAAAAUAGGUUAGCGUUAGGCUAUAAAAGCCUUUGAAAAUCUGUUCUUGAGGGGGAUCAAAGAGAGAAAAAUCAAUAGAAAGCAAAUAUCAGUUUUAAGGUGAUUUAUUAAAAUUUCUUUAGUUAUUUUAUUUUAUUUUUGUUUUAUUUCUGUGCAUACAAAAGUAAAAAGGGUGAGAGGUUUACCUUCGAAGCCUCGCCGAUGAAGCCCACGUUCGUUGCGCUCGAAUCGGACGUCUAGCAGAGAGUGGAGGCUUGAGGCGAAGGCAUGAACGAGUAUUUGGGUAUGAAAACCCUAGCAGAGGAUUUCUUUGCUGUUUGGCGAAAAAAAGAAAGGAAAAUGAGUUGUUCUUGGGGAAAUUUUUGGGUUUUGUAACGAUGGCAAAACGGCGUCGUUUAGGGCAUGUUCCUGUGGCCCCAAAACGGCGCCGUAUGGGGCUAUACCCACGCGGUGACCCGACCCGGGGAAGAUCCGCGCGUCUUGGGCCUGAAUGGUACAUUUGCGCGUUUGGUUCUUCAGUUUUUAAAAUUUGUUUAAAUCAACUUUUUAUUUCUUUUAAUUUUGGCCACAUGUUUUAUUUUUGUUUCAAACCAGUCCUCAGUGCUGCGCACCGUUUAGGGAGUGGGAUUAUUUCCAUUUGGGCCCCCUCAUAUAAUGCGCGCAUUGCAAAUUGGUCCCCGUUCAAUUUUAAUUUCAUUUUUUUGAUUAUUUUUUUUGCCAUUUGUUUUUUUUAAAAUUAAAAUUUUUAGAAGUAUUGCUUUAUAAUUUAUUAUUAUUUCUAUAUGUAUACACACAUUUUUAAUAUUAGUAUAUAUACAUAUUUCUUUAUCUAAUAUAUAUUCUUAAAACUUAUAUAAAUACAUGCAUUUUACAUACGUUUUCUAUAUAUAUAUUUAUCUCUUUUAACUUUUAUAUAUUAUAUAUUAUAUAUAUACAUUUUUAUAAACAUGCUUUUUUACUAUCCUGUUCCAUUUUUUUUAUAUACAUAUGCAUUUUUUCUCUUUUAUUUUGAAUACAUGUUUUUUGUUUGUUUUAUUGGAUAUAUUUCAUUCCUUCAAUUUGCAUGUAUACUUGUAUAUGUGUUAGAUAUAUGUAUACAUAUGUUUGCAACUUUACUGUUAUAUUGUAUUUGUAUAUAUAUAUUUGUAAAUAUUUAUUCGUAUAUGUUGUAAAUUAUAGUAUCUGUAUCAUAUUGUAUAUUAACUCUUUAACAUACCCUUUUUGAAAAUGUAUUUUGAUUUUAACCAUUCAUCAAAGUUAUUUUCUUGAUUUAAAGGUUUUUUUUUUGAAUAAAAGCAUUGUUGGAAGUUUGGGAUUCUCGAGGGAAAUUGAGCCCUAACGUAUUGGGUUCUGAUUUUCUUUAUCAAUCUUAAAUGACCGAGAAUAUUCUUUAUUCAAAAUGCAUGAGCAUAAAAAUUAUUUUUGGAAAUUUAACAUGUCGUGCCUUAACGUAUUGGGUGUGGCCUGUUACUUUCUCGAAAUGAAGAUUUACGCAUAAAAUAAAAGUGAUAUUCAAAGUUUGGGGAUUAUGAGGAAUCGUACCUUAACGUAUUGGGACUCGGUUUCUUUACAUGACUCGAACAAUUGUUUGUCCUUUUGCAAAUUUCAUCAUUCAAGCUUAUUUUAAAAUAUUUUUAAACCUUCGACACUAAGACAUCAAAUAGUCAAUUUGGUACCGAUUUUUGGGCGUUGCGAGGGUGCUAACCCUUCCUCAUGCGUAACUGACUCCCGAGCCUGUUUUCUCAAAAUUCGCA